Gossypium hirsutum (cotton) is the source of this 107-nucleotide non-coding RNA. The record is from Rfam. Lineage: Eukaryota; Viridiplantae; Streptophyta; Magnoliopsida; Malvales; Malvaceae.
AAUCCGUGGUGUGGUCAUUUCUAGAUCAAUGGUUUAAAGUGUUCCUAAGCCUCAUGAAAACUUUCCCCUUCCAAUUGUCUAAAAACAACGAUUUCUCUUCUUAGUUG